This 663-nucleotide long non-coding RNA is filed under the name Mus musculus (house mouse). Its description in RNAcentral is "long non-coding RNA chr4:9959353-9960016". The record is from RNAcentral. Lineage: Eukaryota; Metazoa; Chordata; Mammalia; Rodentia; Muridae.
AACCAUAUUACCCUUACCAUUAUCUACUUUACUGUCUUUUUAGGUGUUAUAAUUACAAUAUCUAGCACUAAUCUAUUAUUAAUAUGAUUAGGACUAGAAUUAUGCUUCCUAGCAAUUGCUCCACUAUUAACAACAACAACAAAAAAUCCAUGAUCGACUGAAACUGCGACAAAGUAUUUUGUUCCACAAGCAACAGCCUCAAUAAUUAUUUUACUACCCAUUGUACUCAAUUAUAAACAAUUAGGAACAUGAACAUUCCAACAACAAACAGUUUACUUCUUUAUAUAACACCAAUUUCACUAUCAAUAAAACUUGGCCUAGCUCCAUUCCAUUACUGACUUCCUGAAGUAACCCAAGGAAUUCCACUACACAUAGGAUUGAUUCUCCUUAUGUGACAAAAAAUUGCACCUUUAUCAAUUCUAUUUCAAAUUUAUCAACUAUUAAACCCAACUAUCAUCUUAGCCCUCACAGUUACAUCAAUCUUCAUAGGAGCAUAAAGUGGAUAAAAUCAAACACAAAUACAGAAAAUUAUAGCAUACUCAUCCAAAGUUCACAUAGGAUAAAUAUUAGCAAUUCUUCCAUACAACCCAUCCCUCAAUUUCACUAUUAUGAAACAAAACACCUAUAAUACUAACAAUAACCUCCCUAAUUCUCCUAUAUUGA